This 407-nucleotide ribosomal RNA is filed under the name uncultured bacterium. RNAcentral describes it as "partial 16S ribosomal RNA". It matches the Rfam family "Bacterial small subunit ribosomal RNA", at positions 30 to 526 of the family's 1533-position model. The record is from RNAcentral.
AUUGAACGCUUGCGGUAGGCCUAACACAUGCAAGUCGAGCGGAGCGGCGGACGGGUUAGUAAUGCCUAGGAAUCUGCCUGGUAGUGGGUGAACACGUCCGCAAACGGGCGCUAAUACCGCAUACUAUCAUAUGAACCAAGGUCGGAUUAGCUAGUUGGUGGGGUACAGACCUACCAAGGCGACGAUCCGUAACUGGUCUGAGAGGAUGAUCAGUCACACUGGAACUGAGGCACGGUCCAGACUCCGACGUGAGGCAGGAGUUGGGAAUAUUUGACAAUGGGAGAAAGCCUGAUCCAGCCACGCCGAGUGUGUGAAGAAGUUCUUCGGAUUGUAAAGCACUUUAAGUUGGGAGACGUUACCAACAGAAUACGCACCGGCUAACUUCGUGCCAGCAGCCGCGGUAAUAC